This 253-nucleotide ribosomal RNA is filed under the name uncultured bacterium. RNAcentral describes it as "partial 16S ribosomal RNA". It matches the Rfam family "Bacterial small subunit ribosomal RNA", at positions 524 to 776 of the family's 1533-position model. The record is from RNAcentral.
UACGUAGGAUGCAAGCGUUGUCCGGAAUUAUUGGGCGUAAAGAGCGCGCAGGCGGUCUAUCAAGUCAGAUGUGAAAUAUCCCGGCUUAACCGGGAGGGGUCAUUUGAAACUGGUAGACUAGAGUACAGCAGAGGAUAGUGGAAUUCCCGGUGUAGUGGUGAAAUGCGCAGAUAUCAGGAGGAACACCGGUGGCGAAGGCGGGUCUCUGGGCCGAUACUGACGCUGAGGAGCGAAAGCGUGGGGAGCGAACAGG